CCUACGGGCGGCAGGAGUAGGGAAUCUUUCACAAUGGGCGAAAGCCUGAUGGAGCAACGCCGCGUGCAGGAUGAAGGCCUUCGGGUUGUAAACUGCUUUUAUAAGCGAGAAAUAUGAUGGUAACUUAUGAAUAAGGAUCGGCUAACUACGUGCCAGCAGCCGCGGUCAUACGUAGGAUCCGAGCAUUAUCCGGAGUGACUGGGUGUAAAGAGUUGCGUAGGUGGCAUAAUAAGUAGCUAGUGAAAUCUGGUGGCUCAACCAUUCAGACUAUUAGCUAAACUGUUAAGCUCGAGACCGUUAGGGGUAACUGGAAUUUCUAGUGUAGGAGUGAAAUCCGUAGAUAUUAGAAGGAACACCAAUAGCGUAGGCAGGUUGCUGGGACGGUUCUGACACUAAGGCACGAAAGCGUAGGGAGCAAACGGGAUUAGAUACCCCUGUAGUC
RNAcentral lists this ribosomal RNA (442 nucleotides) under uncultured bacterium. Its description in RNAcentral is "partial 16S ribosomal RNA". It matches the Rfam family "Bacterial small subunit ribosomal RNA", at positions 338 to 795 of the family's 1533-position model. The record is from RNAcentral.